AGGAGCCGGAUGCGAUGAAAGUCGCACGUCCGGUUCUGAAGGAGAGGUGCAUCGCAGUAAUGCGGACAUCGACUCUAAC
This is a non-coding RNA of Crinalium epipsammum PCC 9333, 79 nucleotides long. NCBI's taxonomy places the organism in Bacteria, Bacillati, Cyanobacteriota, Cyanophyceae, Gomontiellales, Gomontiellaceae. The record is from Rfam.